RNAcentral lists this ribosomal RNA (459 nucleotides) under uncultured bacterium. Its description in RNAcentral is "partial 16S ribosomal RNA". It matches the Rfam family "Bacterial small subunit ribosomal RNA", at positions 338 to 795 of the family's 1533-position model. The record is from RNAcentral.
CCUACGGGAGGCAGCAGUGAGGAAUAUUGGUCAAUGGACGCAAGUCUGAACCAGCCAUGCCGCGUGCAGGAAGAAGGCUCCAUGAGUUGUAAACUGCUUUUGUACGAGGGCAAACGCAGAUACGCGUCUCCGUCUGAGAGUAUCUGACGAAAAAGCAUCGGCUAACUCCGUGCCAGCAGCCGCGGUAAUACGGAGGAUUCAAGCGUUAUCCGGAUUUAUUGGGUUUAAAGGGUGCGUAGGCGGUCGGUUAAGUAGAGGUGAAAUCCCGAGGGUCAAACUCCGAACUGCCGCUGAUACUGUUCGGCUAGAGAGUAGGUGCGGUAGGCGGAAUGUGUGGUGUAGCGGUGAAAUGCUUAGAGAUCAUACAGAACACCGAUUGCGAAGGCAGCUUACCAAGCUACUUCUGACGUUGAGGCACGAAAGCGUGGGGAGCAAACAGGAUUAGAUACCCUGGUAGUC